ACAGGUGGUGCAUGGUUGUCGUCAGCUCGUGUCGUGAGAUGUUGGGUUAAGUCCCGCAACGAGCGCAACCCUCGACCUUAGUUGCCAGCAUUCAGUUGGGCACUCUAAGGUGACUGCCGGCUAAAAGUCGGAGGAAGGUGGGGAUGACGUCAAAUCAUCAUGCCCCUUAUGACCUGGGCUACACACGUGCUACAAUGGGCGGUACAAAGGGUCGCGAACCCGCGAGGGGGGAGCCCAUCCCAAAAAGCCGCUCUCAGUUCGGAUUGCAGGCUGCAACUCGCCUGCAUGAAGCCGGAAUCGCUAGUAAUCGCGGAUCAGCAUGCCGCGGUGAAUACGUUCCCGGGCCUU
RNAcentral lists this ribosomal RNA (348 nucleotides) under uncultured Anoxybacillus sp. RNAcentral describes it as "bacterial SSU rRNA". It matches the Rfam family "Bacterial small subunit ribosomal RNA", at positions 1034 to 1382 of the family's 1533-position model. Lineage: Bacteria; Bacillati; Bacillota; Bacilli; Caryophanales; Anoxybacillaceae. The record is from RNAcentral.